AUUUAGGCCCUUUUCAGGGCCUUCAAUUUUUAAUGUAAAGGGAAUU
Non-coding RNA from Strigamia maritima, 46 nucleotides. The record is from Rfam. Lineage: Eukaryota; Metazoa; Arthropoda; Chilopoda; Geophilomorpha; Linotaeniidae.